UACGUAGGGUGCGAGCGUUAAUCGGAAUUACUGGGCGUAAAGCGUGCGCAGGCGGUUUUAUAAGCCAGAUGUGAAAUCCCCGGGCUUAACCUGGGAACUGCAUUUGUGACUGUAAGACUAGAGUGCGGCAGAGGGGGGUAGAAUUCCACGUGUAGCAGUGAAAUGCGUAGAUAUGUGGAGGAAUACCGAUGGCGAAGGCAGCCCCCUGGGUCGACACUGACGCUCAUGCACGAAAGCGUGGGGAGCAAACAGG
RNAcentral lists this ribosomal RNA (253 nucleotides) under uncultured bacterium. RNAcentral's name for it is "partial 16S ribosomal RNA". It matches the Rfam family "Bacterial small subunit ribosomal RNA", at positions 524 to 776 of the family's 1533-position model. RNAcentral also lists the same sequence under 1 other name. The record is from RNAcentral.